Molecule: ribosomal RNA, 253 nt
Filed under: uncultured bacterium
Lineage: Bacteria
Description: partial 16S ribosomal RNA
Rfam family: Bacterial small subunit ribosomal RNA
Source: RNAcentral
UACGGGGGGGGCAAGCGUUGUUCGGAAUUACUGGGCGUAAAGGGCUCGUAGGCGGCUAACUACGUCGGAUGUGAAAUCCCCAGGCUUAACCUGGGAACUGCAUCCGAUACUGGAUGGCUUGAAUCCGGGAGAGGGGUGCGGAAUUCCAGGUGUAGCGGUGAAAUGCGUAGAUAUCUGGAGGAACACCGGUGGCGAAGGCGGCAUCCUGGACCGGCAUUGACGCUGAGGAGCGAAAGCCAGGGGAGCAAACGGG